This 966-nucleotide long non-coding RNA is filed under the name Coturnix japonica (Japanese quail). RNAcentral describes it as "lncRNA (ENSCJPG00005010151.1)". The record is from RNAcentral. Lineage: Eukaryota; Metazoa; Chordata; Aves; Galliformes; Phasianidae.
AGAAAAAGAUUGAAAUUCACCUGGGAGCGCAUGCUGCUAAACCAAGCUCAUGUAUGAAAUUGACAGCUCAUAAGGUAAAAGGCCUUUACUUCAAAAUGACAGCAGCGCUCUGAAAUGUAAGUUUAUACAUGAACAGUACAAAAUCCUAUACUGUCUACCAAAAAUUUUCCAUAUAGAUGCACAAAUAGUAUCCAUCAGAAUCCAAUAAGAUUACCAGAAUUCCAAAACAGGCUGUAUUUUAGGUCACUUCAGUCUGUUCAGAGGAAUUAUGGGGAACUGAUUUUCAUGUUAUUAUUAUUAAUAAGAAAAAACUUAACAGCAUGAAGCUAAGUUGCAGUAUGAAAAGAUUUUUUAUGAACAGACAAGUUAAUAAGACAGUGAAAUAAUAUUUUGUCCAGUAGAUGGCCAAUUAUGUUUGCGUAGACAGAAAAAUGUCAAGUUAGAAACAUGUUUUCCCUGCCUUACCUCACCUCUCUUUGCCUUCUUUUCCCUUCUUUUCCCUCUCCUUCUGUUCUCUUAUCUCCCCUUCCCAAUUAAUAUUCUUUGACAGGUCCUCCCUGAAGCAAAAUAUAUUCCUGUACAACUCUGGGUGUGACCAUGAGCAUAAUUUGGCACAAGAUCUCUUCUAGAACAAUUGCCUGCCAUCAUUACAAAUCUGCCUCUUGUCCUUGUUUCCCAAUUGUUUGAUGGUAUUAACAGGAGCAAAAAGAAUAUUCAAGACACCUUCUUGAUACUUCCCUGUAAGAACUUGGAGUAGCUGCUAAGAGAAUGCCCUUGCAGCUGAGAGAAAAAUGUUUGCAUUCCACUCUGAAUGGCAGGAUGGGCUAUCCCACAGGUGUCAAUAGGAGCACCCAGGAGCUGCAAUGAGGGUGCCAGGCACUGUACAAAAGAAGGGUAAGUAAAUGACUCUUCUUAACCAGACUGCUGAGCUCCAUACUCAUUUGAGAUUACUGGUUUACAGUAUUA